CUCCCCUCCAGCCCCGCUGGUUGUUGGGCCGCGCCCCCCCGGGGGCGGGCCUCGAGAGAAACGGCGGCACCGUCCGGUCCUCGAGCGUAUGGGGCUCUGUCACCCGCUCUAUGGGCCCGGCCGGGGCUUGCCUCGACCCCCAAUCUUCUCA
This 151-nucleotide unclassified non-coding RNA is filed under the name uncultured Aspergillus. RNAcentral's name for it is "sequence contains ITS2". Lineage: Eukaryota; Fungi; Ascomycota; Eurotiomycetes; Eurotiales; Aspergillaceae. The record is from RNAcentral.